UACAGAGGUCUCAAGCGUUGUUCGGAUUCAUUGGGCGUAAAGGGUGCGUAGGCGGCGCGGUAAGUCGGGUGUGAAAUCUCGGAGCUUAACUCCGAAACUGCAUUCGAUACUGCCGUGCUUGAGGACUGGAGAGGAGACUGGAAUUUACGGUGUAGCGGUGAAAUGCGUAGAUAUCGUAAGGAAGACCAGUGGCGAAGGCGGGUCUCUGGACAGUUCCUGACGCUGAGGCACGAAGGUCAGGGAAGCAAACGGG
This 253-nucleotide ribosomal RNA is filed under the name uncultured bacterium. RNAcentral describes it as "partial 16S ribosomal RNA". It matches the Rfam family "Bacterial small subunit ribosomal RNA", at positions 524 to 776 of the family's 1533-position model. The record is from RNAcentral.